Non-coding RNA from Oncorhynchus mykiss (rainbow trout), 4396 nucleotides. Lineage: Eukaryota; Metazoa; Chordata; Actinopteri; Salmoniformes; Salmonidae. The record is from RefSeq and is a predicted model, not a curated record.
GGACGAGGAGGAGGAAGAUGAGGAGAAACAGGAAGGAGAGGAGGGGAGAGGAGGAGGAGGAGGAAGUGGAUGAAGAGGAAGAUGAGGACGAGGAGGAGGAUCUGCUUUACAUCAGUAAACUCCCGACUGCACGCUUUUGAUUGACACUCGAGCCGACCAAUCCCUGCUGAGCUGAGACACUGACCUAUUGCUAUUGCACCUGUUACGAUAACGUGGAUGGAUGUACCCACAGAGACUGAUCCCAGGUCAGAUUAGACAUUUUACCAGCUAAUGGGUAGGGUUAGAAUCUGGUGAGGGCAAGCUGAUCCCAGGUCAGAUUAGACAUGUUACCACCUAAUGGGUAGGGUUAGGAUCUGGUGAGGGCAAGCUGAUCCCAGGUCAGAUUAGACAUUUUACCACCUAAUGGGAAGGGUUAGGAUCUGGUGAGGGCAAGCUGAUCCCAGGUCAGAUUAGACAUUUUACCACCUAAUGGGAAGGGUUAGGAUCUGGUGAGGGAAAGCUGAUCCCAGGUCAGAUUAUUGGUAUUAUACACCCGGACUCUUCGACUGUCGUCCCAGAGCUCUCCUGGUUGUCAUCCUGUCCCUCUGACCAGGGACUGAUUCAGACCUGGGACACCAGGUAUCUAGACUGUCUUGGCCAAUCACUGACAUUAAUCAAUUAAUCAAUUAACUGCUAUCUAGGGAGACGAGAGAGUUAAAGACCCGGAGACAUGGAGCUGGACAGUCUCCACAUUACAGCCUGAUACUGAGAGUCCCAAUAGUAUCCCCUUUCUCCUGAAGUGUACACUCGUUCACUACUUCCCAAAAAUCUAAAACCAUUGGUUUGGUUAGAGGCUUUUUGUUGUUUUGUUAUACCAGUCAUUUCCUUUGAACUCAGUGAAAGGAAGUGUUGAAAGUGCCACCUUUCUGGAGGAAGGACGGACAGACGGACAGACAGACAGACAGACAGACAGACAGACAGACAGACAGACAGACAGACAGAAUAGGGACCUCUAGAGUUUCUGGUGAAUAAGAUAUAGAGACAGACAGACAGACAGACACAAUAGGGACCUCUAGAGUUUCUGGUGAAUAAGAUAUAGAGACAGACAGACAGACAGACACAAUAGGGACCUCUAGAGUUUCUGGUGAAUAAGAUAUAGAGACAGACAGACAGACAGACAGAAUAGGGACCUCUAGAGUUUCUGGUGAAUAAGAUAUAGAGACAGACAGACAGACAGACACAAUAGGGACCUCUAGAGUUUCUGGUGAAUAAGAUAUAGAGUAAUAUAUUUAAUUCCCUUUUCACUCAAAAGUGACUGUAUAAUUACGUCUCCGUCUUUCCGUUUUUAGAGGUGAUUUCCAUUAUUUUCCCACAUCCUGAAUAUGCUAAUGAGUAACCAGGAAGUAGCAAUGGUGGCCACGCCCCUCCUCUCUUUCUCUCUCUAAAAUCCCCAAAGAUAGUGGUGCCCCCCGCCCCCCAGCGGUGUGGCUAACUAACGACAAGAAGCACAAAGUGAUCCAAGUCACCUUCAUAGACGCCAUUUUGACUUCUUCUUCUUCUCCUUCUUCUUCUUCUUCUUCUUCUUCUUCUUCUUCUUCUUCUUCUUCUCUUUCUCCUUCUUCUUCUCCUCCUCCUCCUCCUCCCUCAUCCUCCUCCUCCUCCCCCCCCCCCCUCCUCCUCCCUCCUCCUCCUCCUCCUCCUCCUCCUCCUCCUCUGCGCUGUGACAAUGCAUGAAUUAGGCCUUUUUACUGAUACACUGACCAGUAUGCAGGGAAACUGUCCCUAGUGACUGAUCUAAGGUCAGUUAUAUAUCCCCCCCCCCCCCUCCUCUAAUGGUAAAGGAUAGGACCCGGGGGAGGCUAAACUGAUCCUAGAUCUGUGGUUAAGGAGCAGGUUCUAGCCUUAGUGCCAUUUCUCCCGUACCGGCCGUCUGUAUGAGAUUUGUAUAUUAAUCACUUAGUAAAAAAUGACUAAAUAAGUCUAGAGAUCAAUAUCGAUUUUGAAAUAUUAAUGAUAUUUAAAACAUUUAGAUUUUAGUGACAAACAAACAACAACAACAACAACAACAACAACAACAACAACAACAACAAAAAGAGAAUUAAAAAGGUGUAGUUUUUAGUCUGUCUGAGAGGGACUUGUUGUUGUUUUGGAUACUCUCUCUGUGUGUGUGUGUGUGUGUGUGUGUGUGUGUGUGUGUGUGUGUCUGAACGUAGUGUGCAGAUGCUACAAUGUAGUUGUAGCUGCCUGGUUGGAAGGAACCAAAAUCGGAACAUAAAGAUAUAUAUCGUGUAGCUACGGAAAACUACUGAAAAAAGUGUUGUUUUGAUCUCUGUUGUAAAAUAGUUAGCGAUAGGAAAUAAUCCUUCACUUACACAUUUGUAGACCUUUUAAUAAAGUUGUUUUGUAUGCAACUCUAAAGAAACCCCUGACUAUGGUUCGCCUCGUGUGCUCGAUAUGGGUCAACCCUGUGGAAUUAGCAUUACUAGAACGGACAUUCUAGAACCACUAGACAUUCUAGAACCACUAGACAUUCUGCAACCACUAGAAGGGACAUUCUAGAACCAAUAGUCAUUCCAGAACCACUAGACAUUCUAGAACCACUAGAUGGGACAUUCUAGAACCACUAGAUGGGACAUUCUAGAACCAUUAGAAGGGACAUUCUAGAACCCUUAGAUGGGACAUUCUAGAACCACUAGAAUGGUAUGGGGUGGCUACAGUCCAGUGUACAGAUUUCACACUCUGCUUCUCAAACGGCACCGUUUCUCUGCCACGGUAGCCAGCGCGCUACAUGGGGAACAGGGUGUCAUUCGCUUGUCUUUGUCCGUUCUACUAAACUCUAACUCUGUCGUGGAACCCAUCCUUAACAUUCUCUCUCUCUCUCUCUCUCUCUCUCUUGAUUCUGAGGCAUUAGAUCCUGAAACUCACCAGCUGGCAAAAUAAGGUGCCUUUAGGUUUAUACCUGAACACUCCCCUACUGACCACACGUCACUAUAACACUCCCCUACUGACUGACCACACGUCACUAUAACACUCCCCUACUGACCACACGUCACUAACACUCCCCUACUGACCACACGUCACUAUAACACUCCCCUACUGACCACACGUCACUAUAACACUCCCCUACUGACCACACGUCACUAUAACACUCCCCUACUGACCAGACGUCACUGUAACACUCCCCUACUGACCACACGUCACUACAACACUCCCCUACUGACCACACGUCACUAUAACACUCCCCUACUGACCACACGUCACUAACACUCCCUUACUGACUGACCACACGUCACUAUAACACUCCCAUACUGACUGACCACACGUCACUAACACUCCCCUACUGACCACACGUCACUAUAACACUCCCCUACUGACCACACGUCACUAUAACACUCCCCUACUGACCACACGUCACUAUAACACUCCCCUACUGACUGACCACACGUCACUAUAACACUCCCCUACUGACCACACGUCACUAACACUCCCUUACUGACUGACCACACGUCACUAUAACACUCCCCUACUGACCACACGUCACUAUAACACUCCCCUACUGACCACACGUCACUAUAACACUCCCCUACUGACCACACGUCACUAUAACACUCCCCUACUGACCACACGUCACUAUAACACUCUCCUACUGACCACACGUCACUAUAACACUCCCCUACUGACCACACGUCACUAUAACACUCCCCUACUGACCACACGUCACUAUAACACUCCCCUACUGACCACACGUCACUAUAACACUCCCCUACUGACCACACGUCACUAUAACACUCCCCUACUGACCACACGUCACUGUAACACUCCCCUACUGACCACACGUCACUAUAACACUCCCCUACUGACCACACGUCACUACAACACUCCCCUACUGACCACACGUCACUAUAACACUCCCCUACUGACCACACGUCACUAACACUCCCUUACUGACUGACCACACGUCACUAUAACACUCCCCUACUGACUGACCACACGUCACUAACACUCCCCUACUGACCACACGUCACUAUAACACUCCCCUACUGACCACUCGUCACUAUAACACUCCCCUACUGACCACACGUCACUAUAACACUCCCCUACUGACCACACGUCACUAUAACACUCCCCUACUGACCACACGUCACUAUAACACUCCCCUACUGACCACACGUCACUAUAACACUCCCCUACUGACCACACGUCACUAUAACACUCUCCUACUGACCACACGUCACUAUAACACUCCCCUACUGACCACACGUCACUAUAACACUCCCCUACUGACCACACGUCACUAUAACACUCCCCUACUGACCACACGUCACUAUAACACUCUCCUACUGACCACACGUCACUAUAACACUCCCCUACUGACCACACGUCACUAUAACACUCCCCUACUGACCACACGUCACUA